Molecule: long non-coding RNA, 845 nt
Organism: Bufo bufo (common toad)
Lineage: Eukaryota; Metazoa; Chordata; Amphibia; Anura; Bufonidae
Exons: 4
Source: RefSeq, a predicted model, not a curated record
AAUACUCCUCAAAAUUGUUAAGAGGAGUAUUUUUACUCUUCUGGAAAAAAUGUAGUGCGACCUCUGUACAGGAGGGAAAGGCAAGGGGAAGUACAUACGAGGGCAAAGGCAAGAGGUACUAUAUACAGGGCACACAGACAAGAGGCACUAUAUACCGGGCACACAGACAAGAGGUACUAUAUACAGGGCACACAGACAAGAGGCACUAUAUACCGGGCACACAGACAAGAGGUACUAUAUACAGGGCACACAGACAAGAGGCACUAUAUACAGGGCACACAGACAAGAGGUACUAUAUACAGGGCACACAGACAAGAGGCACUAUAUACCAGGCACACAGACAAGAGGUACUAUAUACAGGGCACACAGACAAGAGGCACUAUAUACAGGGCACACAGACAAGGGGCACUAUAUAUGGGGCACACAGACAAGAGGCACUAUUUACAGGGCACACAGACAAGAGGCACUACAUACGGGGCACACAGAAAAGAGGCACUAUAGAAAGGGCACACAGACAAGAAGAACCAUAUACAGAGAGCAAAGGCAAGGGGCACUAUAUAAAGGGGGCACAGAGCAAAAGGUACUGUAUACAGGGGGCACAAGCAAAAGGCACUAUAUACAGGGCACACAGGCAGGAGGCACUAAAUACAGAGACGUCAUCUGUAACGGACUAAAUGUAAAUGUUUAUUCUGGCACUGUUAUUCUGACAGGUGUAGUCUACAGGGUGAUGAUGGUUGGUAGCAUUCUGUUUUAUGUAACGGCAACUGACAGCAAAUGUUUACAUUUGUUCAAUUUAUACUGGAAGCUGAGGCCUGAUCAAGCAGUGGAGGGUCUAGGCGCAAAUG